AGUGAACGCUGGCGGUAGGCCUAACACAUGCAAGUCGAACGGCAGCACAGUAAGAGCUUGCUCUUACGGGUGGCGAGUGGCGGACGGGUGAGGAAUACAUCGGAAUCUACUUUUUCGUGGGGGAUAACGUAGGGAAACUUACGCUAAUACCGCAUACGACCUACGGGUGAAAGCAGGGGAUCUUCGGACCUUGCGCGAUUGAAUGAGCCGAUGUCGUAUUAGCUAGUUGGCGGGGUAAAGGCCCACCAAGGCGACGAUCCGUAGCUGGUCUGAGAGGAUGAUCAGCCACACUGGAACUGAGACACGGUCCAGACUCCUACGGGAGGCAGCAGUGGGGAAUAUUAGACAAUGGGCGCAAGCCUGAUCCAGCCAUACCGCGUGGGUGAAGAAGGCCUUCGGGUUGUAAAGCCCUUUUGUUGGGAAAGAAAAGCAGCAGGUUAAUACCCCGCUGUUCUGACGGUACCCAAAGAAUAAGCACCGGCUAACUUCGUG
Molecule: ribosomal RNA, 492 nt
Filed under: uncultured bacterium
Lineage: Bacteria
Description: partial 16S ribosomal RNA
Rfam family: Bacterial small subunit ribosomal RNA
Source: RNAcentral